RNAcentral lists this long non-coding RNA (261 nucleotides) under Setaria viridis. Its description in RNAcentral is "long non-coding RNA (SVIR_LNC003209)". Lineage: Eukaryota; Viridiplantae; Streptophyta; Magnoliopsida; Poales; Poaceae. The record is from RNAcentral.
UGAAAAUUUCUAAUAUUUGUUAGGGAUGAUUCAAACUUCUACUUGCAAUCUUAUUAUAAAAUAAUGGUAAUAAUACCUAAAACUUCUCCGAAAAUACUACAAAUUGACAUGACAACAUAUUUUUGGUCUAUAAGCUAGUAAUAAAAGUUUUACAAGAUUUUAUUAAACUUAUACUAUACACUAUUCCAAAUGGAUACAUCUCUCACAUAGUUUCUAUUAACUCAAGUCAAACUUAGAGAUUUAAGUAGCACUUUACAUAUU